UAGAAGAAACCAAUAAACACCCAAAAUAAAACCCAUCAAAUCCGUUUGGAAAGAUAAUUGAUUUAGGGUUUUUGCACAAGAUGGAUCUAAUCUCUCUAUAUAUCGAUCACCUACAGUUUUUGUAUUUCCACUGCGCAUCGCAAUAUUUCGAUCCUUUCUUCUAGAGUGAGCCUUUCAAAGACUCCAAUUUGUCCACAUGUCAAGCGCUGAACCUAUAUUCUCACUUUAAAUUGCUGCUGAUAACUGAUAAGUGUGGUUGUAUACAAAGAAACCAACGAGGCAUUAUGUUAUUGUCGUUUGUUUUUCAUUUUGUUUUUGCAUAUUCUGAUAGUGAAGGAAAUUCUGACUCGCGAGCAGCCAAUACAUGAGUUGUAUGCAAACGUUAAUAUAGUUGGGCAUGGAAUCUUGAAAUCUGAUCUGGACCUUACUUGUGCCAUUGCUAGCCGUAGGUUUAGGUCAUUGGGAAAAUGUUUUGGAGUAACCGGCCCAUUUUGGGAAAACGUCAAACAUGACUCCCUGGACUACUUUGAGGGCCCGUAACUUCCAAAUGGUGUACAUGCAAAAAAAAUUGCCGCUUUUCGAGUGAGGUUCAAUUUUAUUGACAAUUUUCUUUCAAGCUCUAGAUGAGGAGAUUAAAAUUCAUGAAGGAAGUAGUUGAGGUUGUUGCUGAAUCUUAUAAACAUAAGGAGAUGCUGGACCGAUUGCAUUUGAAGAACAUGGUUGGACCUCCCAAGGUGGUUGAGAAAGAUAUACUUUCCCUUUUGUUGGAUAUCUUCGACACUGUAGACUUAUUCCAUCUAUUUCUAUCAGAGCUACAUUAUGACCGUUAAGUGCGUCUUGAUUACAUCAUCUCAAAAGUCGAUGGAACCCAUUGCGCUGAAUAUAUUUAAAGGCACAAUAUCAUCAUUUUACUUUACUCAAAGAACUAGGGAACUUUCUACUUUUAAAUACUUUGGAUAUUGUAUAGUUCAUUAUAGUUAAUUUAAACUAAAUGACCCUUAAAAGUUCGAUUGGGAUUUGGUAUAUUAUAUUGUCAUAAUCAUAAUGGGUUUGGGAUCCUAUAGAUAGCUUCUGUAAAAUCUUCUUGUGUAUGUAGUAUUUUGGAGUAUAGGAGUGUAUGUUUAUCGUUAAGUGUCUCAUUAUGAAGUUUUUCCUUUUUGUUGGUGAAUAGUA
Molecule: long non-coding RNA, 1173 nt
Organism: Erigeron canadensis
Lineage: Eukaryota; Viridiplantae; Streptophyta; Magnoliopsida; Asterales; Asteraceae
Exons: 7
Source: RefSeq, a predicted model, not a curated record